Molecule: ribosomal RNA, 253 nt
Filed under: uncultured bacterium
Lineage: Bacteria
Description: partial 16S ribosomal RNA
Rfam family: Bacterial small subunit ribosomal RNA
Source: RNAcentral
UACGGAGGGAGCUAGCGUUGUUCGGAAUUACUGGGCGUAAAGCGUACGUAGGCGGUUAUUCAAGUCAGAGGUGAAAGCCCGGGGCUCAACCCCGGAACUGCCUUUGAAACUAGAUAACUAGAAUCUUGGAGAGGUCAGUGGAAUUCCGAGUGUAGAGGUGAAAUUCGUAGAUAUUCGGAAGAACACCAGUGGCGAAGGCGACUGACUGGACAAGUAUUGACGCUGAGGUACGAAAGCGUGGGGAGCAAACAGG